Bombina bombina (fire-bellied toad) is the source of this 330-nucleotide long non-coding RNA. RefSeq lists it as uncharacterized. NCBI's taxonomy places the organism in Eukaryota, Metazoa, Chordata, Amphibia, Anura, Bombinatoridae. The record is from RefSeq and is a predicted model, not a curated record. The transcript is spliced from 4 exons.
AGUUGAUCAUGAGGAGGAUAGACUGUACAGGUGAUGCUUCUGGCAUUGGGUCCUGUAACGACUUCACCACCUGGUUUUUAAAGACAACAUCAGCUGGGAGAUGACUUCAUCUAAAGACUGAAAGUGAAGAAUUCAAGACUGAAAGUGAAGAAUCCCAGACUGAAAAUGAAGUAUCCCAGACUGAAAGUGAAGAAUCCUAGAUUUAAAGUGAUGAAUACCAAUGUGAUCAUGUCUGGCAUUGUCUUUCAAAUGUGCUGACCUUGAAAACCAUACAAAGACAUGUUCACAUGAUGGUAUUUCACAAUCCUCUAUUUUGAAAAUGAAGAAUAA